AGUGGGAUAGCUGAGUCAAAUGGCAGUUCCAUUCCUAGUUUUUUGAGGAAUAUCCAUACUGAUUUUCAGGGUGGUUGCACCAAUUUGCAAUCCCACCAGCAAU
RNAcentral lists this microRNA precursor (103 nucleotides) under Marmota monax (woodchuck). Lineage: Eukaryota; Metazoa; Chordata; Mammalia; Rodentia; Sciuridae. The record is from RNAcentral.